GAUCCUGCUCAGGAUGAACGCUAGCUACAGGCUUAACACAUGCAAGUCGAACGAGAGAGAGGGAGCUUGCUUCCUUGAUCGAGUGGCGAACGGGUGAGUAACGCGUGAGGAACCUGCCUCAAAGAGGGGGACAACAGUUGGAAACGACUGCUAAUACCGCAUAAGCCCACGGCUCGGCAUCGAGCAGAGGGAAAAGGAGCAAUCCGCUUUGAGAUGGCCUCGCGUCCGAUUAG
RNAcentral lists this ribosomal RNA (233 nucleotides) under uncultured bacterium. Its description in RNAcentral is "partial 16S ribosomal RNA". It matches the Rfam family "Bacterial small subunit ribosomal RNA", at positions 15 to 244 of the family's 1533-position model. The record is from RNAcentral.